RNAcentral lists this ribosomal RNA (501 nucleotides) under uncultured bacterium. RNAcentral describes it as "partial 16S ribosomal RNA". It matches the Rfam family "Bacterial small subunit ribosomal RNA", at positions 30 to 523 of the family's 1533-position model. The record is from RNAcentral.
AUUGAACGCUGGCGGAAUGCUUUACACAUGCAAGUCGAACGGCAGCACGGGUGCUUGCACCUGGUGGCGAGUGGCGAACGGGUGAGUAAUUUAUCGGAACGUAUCCAAUAAUGGGGGAUAACUAGCCGAAAGGUUAGCUAAUACCGCAUACGCCCUGAGGGGGAAAGCUGGGGAUCGUAAGACCUAGCGUUGAUGGAGCUGCCGAUAUCUGAUUAGCUAGUUGGUGGGGUAAGAGCCUACCAAGGCGACGAUCAGUAGCUGGUCUGAGAGGACGACAGCCCGACUGGGACUGAGACACGGUCCAGACUCCUACGGGAGGCAGCAGUGGGGAAUUUUGGACAAUGGGGGCAACCCUGAUCCAGCCAUUCCGCGUGAGUGAAGAAGGCCUUCGGGUUGUAAAGCUCUUUCGCAAGGGAAGAAAACUCGAUCUCUAAUAUAGGUUGAGGCUGACGGUACCUUGAUAAGAAGCACCGGCUAACUACGUGCCAGCAGCCGCCGUAA